Molecule: non-coding RNA, 73 nt
Organism: Cordylochernes scorpioides
Lineage: Eukaryota; Metazoa; Arthropoda; Arachnida; Pseudoscorpiones; Chernetidae
Source: the annotation of a GenBank genome assembly
GUUUCCAUGGUAUAGCGGUUAUCACGUGUGCUUCACACGCACAAGGUCCCCAGUUCGAUCCCAGGCAGGAACA